GAUGAAGAACGUAGCGAAAUGCGAUAAGUAAUGUGAAUUGCAGAAUUCAGUGAAUCAUCGAAUCUUUGAACGCACAUUGCGCCCCUUGGUAUUCCGAGGGGCAUGCCUGUUCGAGCGUCAUUAUAACCCCUCAAGCUCAGCUUGGUGUUGGGGCCUGCUGCACUGGCAGCCCUUAAAAUCAGUGGCCGCGCCAUCUGGCUCUAAGCGUAGUAAUUCUUCUCGCUAUGGAGUCCUGGUGGAUGCUUGCCAUCAACCCCCAAUUUUUCUAUGGUUGACCUCGGAUCAGGUAGGGAUACCCGCUGAACUUAAGCAUAUCAAUAAGCGGAGGA
This 329-nucleotide unclassified non-coding RNA is filed under the name soil metagenome. RNAcentral describes it as "partial contains 5.8S ribosomal RNA, internal transcribed spacer 2, and large subunit ribosomal RNA". The stretch from base 1 to 120 matches the Rfam family "5.8S ribosomal RNA", at positions 35 to 154 of the family's 154-position model. The record is from RNAcentral.